Molecule: ribosomal RNA, 253 nt
Filed under: uncultured bacterium
Lineage: Bacteria
Description: partial 16S ribosomal RNA
Rfam family: Bacterial small subunit ribosomal RNA
Source: RNAcentral
UACGUAGGGGGCAAGCGUUGUCCGGAUUUACUGGGCGUAAAGAGCGUGUAGGCGGCCAAGCAGGUCCGUUGUGAAAACUGGAGGCUUAACCUCCAGACGUCGACGGAAACCGCGUGGCUAGAGUCCGGAAGAGGAGAGCGGAAUUCCUGGUGUAGCGGUGAAAUGCGCAGAUAUCAGGAGGAACACCGGUGGCGAAGGCGGCUCUCUGGACCACAACUGACGCUGAGGCGCGAAAGCUAGGGGAGCAAACAGG